GGGUUGUGAGGUUAAGCGACUAAGCGUACACGGUGGAUGCCUAGGCAAUCAGAGGCGAUGAAGGACGUGCUAAUCUGCGAUAAGCGUCGGUAAGGUGAUAUGAACCGUUACAACCGACGAUUUCCGAAUGGGGAAACCCAGUGCAAUUCGUUGCACUAUCGUUUGAUGAAUACAUAGUCAAACGAAGCGAACCGGGGGAACUGAAACAUCUCAGUACCCCGAGGAAAAGAAAUCAACCGAGAUUCCCCUAGUAGCGGCGAGCGAACGGGGAGCAGCCCAGAGUCUUAAUCAGCAUUAGCAUCAGGAGAACGGUCUGGAAAGUCCGGCAGUAAAGGGUGAUAGCCCCGUAUCCGAAGGUGUUAGUGUUGUGAACUCGACGAGUAGGGCGGGACACGUGUUAUCCUGUCUGAAUAUGGGGGGACCAUCCUCCAAGGCUAAAUACUCCUGAUUGACCGAUAGUGAACCAGUACCGUGAGGGAAAGGCGAAAAGAACCCCGGCGAGGGGAGUGAAAUAGAACCUGAAACCGUGUACGUACAAGCAGUGGGAGCCUUGAUUUAUCAGGGUGACUGCGUACCUUUUGUAUAAUGGGUCAGCGACUUAUAUUCUGUAGCAAGGUUAACCGUAUAGGGGAGCCGUAGGGAAACCGAGUCUUAACUGGGCGAAUAAGUUGCAGGGUAUAGACCCGAAACCCGGUGAUCUAGCCAUGGGCAGGUUGAAGGUUGGGUAACACUAACUGGAGGACCGAACCGACUAAUGUUGAAAAAUUAGCGGAUGACUUGUGGCUGGGGGUGAAAGGCCAAUCAAACCGGGAGAUAGCUGGUUCUCCCCGAAAGCUAUUUAGGUAGCGCCUCGUGAACUCAUCUUCGGGGGUAGAGCACUGUUUCGACUAGGGGGUCAUCCCGACUUACCAACUCGAUGCAAACUACGAAUACCGAAGAAUGUUAUCACGGGAGACACACGGCGGGUGCUAACGUUCGUCGUGAAGAGGGAAACAACCCAGACCGCCAGCUAAGGUCCCAAAGUCAUAGUUAAGUGGGAAACGAAGUGGGAAGGCUCAGACAGCCAGGAUGUUGGCUUAGAAGCAGCCAUCAUUUAAAGAAAGCGUAAUAGCUCACUGGUCGAGUCGGCCUGCGCGGAAGAUGUAACGGGGCUAAACUAUGCACCGAAGCUGCGGCAGCGAUAUGUAAAUAUUGUUGGGUAGGGGAGCGUUCUGUAAGCCUGUGAAGGUGUGCUGUGAGGCAUGCUGGAGGUAUCAGAAGUGCGAAUGCUGACAUAAGUAACGAUAAUGCGGGUGAAAAACCCGCACGCCGGAAGACCAAGGGUUCCUGUCCAACGUUAAUCGGGGCAGGGUGAGUCGACCCCUAAGGCGAGGCAGAAAUGCGUAGUCGAUGGGAAACGGGUUAAUAUUCCCGUACUGGUGAUAAUUGCGAUGGGGGGACGGAGAAGGCUAGGCUAUCCGGGCGACGGUUGUCCCGGUUUAAGGAUGUAGGCAGGUGAAUUAGGCAAAUCCGGUUCACUAUAUGCUGAGGUCCGAUGACGAGUCACUACGGUGAUGAAGUAGCUCAUGCCCCGCUUCCAGGAAAAGCCUCUAAGCUCUAGAUUAUCAUUAAUCGUACCCCAAACCGACACAGGUGGUCAGGUAGAGAAUACUCAGGCGCUUGAGAGAACUCGGGUGAAGGAACUAGGCAAAAUGGUGCCGUAACUUCGGGAGAAGGCACGCUGGCAUUAGGUGAAGUCCCUUGCGGAUGGAGCUGAAGCCAGUCGCAGAUACCAGCUGGCUGCAACUGUUUAUUAAAAACACAGCACUGUGCAAACACGAAAGUGGACGUAUACGGUGUGACGCCUGCCCGGUGCUGGAAGGUUAAUUGAUGGGGUUAUCCGUAAGGAGAAGCUCUUGAUCGAAGCCCCAGUAAACGGCGGCCGUAACUAUAACGGUCCUAAGGUAGCGAAAUUCCUUGUCGGGUAAGUUCCGACCUGCACGAAUGGCGUAAUGAUGGCCAGGCUGUCUCCACCCGAGACUCAGUGAAAUUGAACUCGCUGUGAAGAUGCAGUGUACCCGCGGCAAGACGGAAAGACCCCGUGAACCUUUACUAUAGCUUGACACUGAACAUUGAGCCUUGAUGUGUAGGAUAGGUGGGAGGCUUUGAAGUGUGGACGCCAGUCUGCAUGGAGCCAACCUUGAAAUACCACCCUUUAAUGUUUGAUGUUCUAACGUUGCCCCGUUAUCCGGGGUGCGGACAGUGUCUGGUGGGUAGUUUGACUGGGGCGGUCUCCUCCCAAAGAGUAACGGAGGAGCACGAAGGUUGGCUAAGCAUGGUCGGACAUCAUGCGGUUAGUGCAAAGGCAUAAGCCAGCUUGACUGCGAGAGUGACGGCUCGAGCAGGUACGAAAGUAGGUCUUAGUGAUCCGGUGGUUCUGAAUGGAAGGGCCAUCGCUCAACGGAUAAAAGGUACUCCGGGGAUAACAGGCUGAUACCGCCCAAGAGUUCAUAUCGACGGCGGUGUUUGGCACCUCGAUGUCGGCUCAUCACAUCCUGGGGCUGAAGUAGGUCCCAAGGGUACGGCUGUUCGCCGUUUAAAGUGGUACGCGAGCUGGGUUUAGAACGUCGUGAGACAGUUCGGUCCCUAUCUGCCGUGGGCGUUGGAAGAUUGAAAGGGGCUGCUCCUAGUACGAGAGGACCGGAGUGGACGCACCACUGGUGUUCGGGUUGUCAUGCCAAUGGCAUUGCCCGGUAGCUAAGUGCGGAAGAGAUAACCGCUGAAAGCAUCUAAGCGGGAAACUUGCCUUGAGAUGAGUCUUCCCUGACUCUUUAAGAGUCCUAAAGGAACGUUUAAGACUAAGACGUUGAUAGGUUGGGUGUGUAAGCGUAGCGAUACGUUGAGCUAACCAAUACUAAUGAACCGUGAGGCUUAACCUGACAACACCGAAGGUGUUUUAG
RNAcentral lists this ribosomal RNA (2939 nucleotides) under Providencia sp. PROV061. RNAcentral describes it as "23S ribosomal RNA". It matches the Rfam family "Bacterial large subunit ribosomal RNA". The record is from RNAcentral. Lineage: Bacteria; Pseudomonadati; Pseudomonadota; Gammaproteobacteria; Enterobacterales; Morganellaceae.